Molecule: transfer RNA, 61 nt
Filed under: Paradiplozoon opsariichthydis
Lineage: Eukaryota; Metazoa; Platyhelminthes; Monogenea; Mazocraeidea; Diplozoidae
Description: tRNA-Ala
Source: RNAcentral
AAUGAGAUAGUUUAAUCAAAAUGUAUGCCUUGCACGCAUAAGAUAAGUAGUUUUCUUGUUG